AUCUAGUAUAAAUUUUAUAUUUUAUUUCCUUGUAUGUCAAGAAACAUAGCUCCUAUGGCUAAAAUAGAACAUGAUUAUUUUUUUUUUGGCUUUUGAAGAAAAUAGGACGAUCCAAAAAACAUUUAAAUAAAUUGAAAAGCCAAAAUAAUCAUUGAUGAGAGAUUUAACCAGAAGAAUUAAGGUGAGCGAUUCAGGCUCUUGAGAGCCUCUUGUUUGUAUAUCCAUGCCAA
This 230-nucleotide long non-coding RNA is filed under the name Mytilus galloprovincialis (Mediterranean mussel). Lineage: Eukaryota; Metazoa; Mollusca; Bivalvia; Mytilida; Mytilidae. The record is from RNAcentral.